UAGGGAAUCCUCCGCAAUGGGCGAAAGCCUGACGGAGCAACGCCGCGUGAGUGAUGACGGUCUUCGGAUCGUAAAACUCUGUUAUUAGGGAAGAACAAAUGUGUAAGUAACUAUGCACGUCUUGACGGUACCUAAUCAGAAAGCCACGGCUAACUACGUGCCAGCAGCCGCGGUAAUACGUAGGUGGCAAGCGUUAUCCGGAAUUAUUGGGCGUAAAGCGCGCGUAGGCGGUUUUUUAAGUCUGAUGUGAAAGCCCACGGCUCAACCGUGGAGGGUCAUUGGAAACUGGAAAACUUGAGUGCAGAAGAGGAAAGUGGAAUUCCAUGUGUAGCGGUGAAAUGCGCAGAGAUAUGGAGGAACACCAGUGGCGAAGGCGACUUUCUGGUCUGUAACUGACGCUGAUGUGCGAAAGCGUGGGGAUCAAACAGG
This 429-nucleotide ribosomal RNA is filed under the name Actinomycetes bacterium. Its description in RNAcentral is "Actinobacteria bacterium partial 16S ribosomal RNA". It matches the Rfam family "Bacterial small subunit ribosomal RNA", at positions 355 to 776 of the family's 1533-position model. The record is from RNAcentral. Lineage: Bacteria; Bacillati; Actinomycetota; Actinomycetes.